RNAcentral lists this ribosomal RNA (253 nucleotides) under uncultured Sphingobium sp. Its description in RNAcentral is "partial 16S ribosomal RNA". It matches the Rfam family "Bacterial small subunit ribosomal RNA", at positions 524 to 776 of the family's 1533-position model. The record is from RNAcentral. Lineage: Bacteria; Pseudomonadati; Pseudomonadota; Alphaproteobacteria; Sphingomonadales; Sphingobiaceae.
UACAGAGAGGGCAAGCGUUGUCCGGAAUUACUGGGCGUAAAGCGCACGUAGGCGGCGAUUUAAGUCAGAGGUGAAAGCCCGGGGCUCAACCCCGGAACUGCCUUUGAGACUGGAUUGCUUGAAUCCUGGAGAGGUGAGUGGAAUUCCGAGUGUAGAGGUGAAAUUCGUAGAUAUUCGGAAGAACACCAGUGGCGAAGGCGGCUCACUGGACAGGUAUUGACGCUGAGGUGCGAAAGCGUGGGGAGCAAACAGG